AUUGAACGCUGGCGGCAGGCCUAACACAUGCAAGUCGAACGGUAGCACAGAGAGCUUGCUCUCGGGUGACGAGUGGCGGACGGGUGAGUAAUGUCUGGGAAACUGCCUGAUGGAGGGGGAUAACUACUGGAAACGGUAGCUAAUACCGCAUAACGUCGCAAGACCAAAGAGGGGACCUUCGGGCCUCUUGCCAUCAGAUGUGCCCAGAUGGGAUUAGCUAGUAGGCGGGGUAAUGGCCCACCUAGGCGACGAUCCCUAGCUGGUCUGAGAGGAUGACCAGCCACACUGGAACUGAGACACGGUCCAGACACCUACGGGUGGCUG
RNAcentral lists this ribosomal RNA (324 nucleotides) under uncultured Pseudomonadota bacterium. RNAcentral's name for it is "bacterial SSU rRNA". It matches the Rfam family "Bacterial small subunit ribosomal RNA", at positions 30 to 351 of the family's 1533-position model. The record is from RNAcentral. Lineage: Bacteria; Pseudomonadati; Pseudomonadota.